CGUACCGUUACAAUAAAGUAAAGAAAUAAAUACGUUAAAAAAAAGAAAAAGAAGAAGAAGAAGGAGGCAGGACGAGCUCGGCGGUGCUGUGGGGAGGUGGGCUUUGUUUUAGGGCCGCGCGGGGGGGUGAACGGGGACGGGCUGGCUGCCGCUGCCGGUGUCAGUGCUCAUUCCACCGGGCGAGGGUCGCGGAGCUGCGCGGGCACAGCGCGGAGCAGCCCCCUCCCCCCUCAUCCUCUAUUCACGUUCAAGGUUUAUCGGCGGGGUCACGUCCAUUGACGUCAUCUCGAGGCAUCGCUGUACAUCCUGAUACAUUCACAUACAUCGGGGGAAUCAGGGCAUUAAAACAACAAAAUAAAAGGAACAUGGAACACGUAAAUCCCGCUGCUCGGAGAAGAGACCGCGGAUCCCCGGAGGGACCGCCCCCACUGAGGAAGAUCCUAAUUAACGGAAGAAGCAUUUGGACCCCCUCUUUCCUUCAAAACAUCAUCAUUAUCAACACAAACACCCCCGAAAUGGGCAAUCCGGGACGGGAGAAGAGCCCGGCUGGGAGCGAGGUGGCUCCGGUCCAUGAUCCGGCCUCCACGCCGCGACAUCCUCCUCCUCCUCAUCCUCCUCCCGCUGGCACCAGCAUGUGCUACUAUGCAUAUAUAUGCAUAUACUGAUGCAUAUGUAAAGCGGCUGCCGGCGAUUCCCUCCAUCCCAAUCCAUCAUCAUCCUCCCCUCCCUAUGCUGUUAAUUAGUGCAUGUACAGCUCCCAUGUGUCAUCCCCCCCAAGCAUAUGCAGAGGAGAGAGGCCGCAGAGAUGUACUUCUCCAUGUCCGUUCCCACCGUGCAUCCUCCAUCCUCAUCCUCUAUCCUCAUUCUUCUCCUCCCGCUCCACCUACCCCGGCGGCCGCCUCCGCGGCUCGCUUACCCCACGCAUUGCCGUCGCCCCGCUUGGACGGGGAUGGCCGCCUCCCCCCCAUGAGCACCACCCUCCCGGAAUGGGAUUGCCGGGGCUCCCCGUCUCAGCAUCAUCCCCCCCUUCUCCCUCUCCUCCUCCCUUUCACCCCUCCCAGCGUUAGCGAGCAGCGGACCCGCGAAUCACGGCGGCGGCCUUUGAAUGAGCCCCAUGCAGGGGAGGAGGUAAGGAGGAGGGCCCCUCCCCCGCCCUGCCUGCCCUCCCCCCCUGACACUCACUACUUGUGGUCUUGGGAUAAGAACAAUAAAUACACCCCCCGACACACGCGUUACUGAGUAUCAGCCUUUUCAUAGCUAAAACUAAGGGCGCGUAUGUCCCGCAGUCACUCGUUCGAGUGCUGCCGAAGUUGAAGGUUGCACGGAUUUCCACCCAGGAUAGGUAAAUAAAGAAAUUAAUGCAUAAAACCACUAAAUAAUGCACAAGUUUGGGGUGGCCGCUGCAGUGCCAAGGGGAUGAGACGAGGUGCCAGGACUGAAAAUAAUAAUAAUGCAUGAAAUAGAUCCUCUUCCUGGCCUUAUCUAUCUAUCUAUCUAUCUAUCUAUCUAUCUAUCUAUCUAUUUUAUCCUCCAUGCUUUUAAUACCCCAAUUCCUCUAAAACAAGUAUUCAUCAUUUUACACUUAGAUUUUGUCCCUCGUCUCUUCAGCCCUAUCUGUCUCCUUAUCAAAAAGCGUAAAUAAUCGUGACUCCCUGAAAGGCGGAGGAGGACUAUUUUGGCACAUCCUCUGCACACGGACAUACUUGUUUUGGCAUUAUUUAUAUAUUUAGAACAUAUAGAAGAGUAGAGGUGCGGGUAUAUAGGAACGUCGUGUGGGGCAUUUUUUUUUCUUUCCUUUUCUUUUCCCUGGCAAGAUUUAGAUACUGAAAUAGAAAAAUGUAAAAGGCAAACACAUAAUAUUGGGUGAAGCAACUGAAAUUUGGCAUGAGAAAAAUAAGGGGUUUUUUUUGUGUGUGUUUGUUUGGUUUUUUAAGCAAGGAAAAUGGUGAAUUUAGAGUUUUCUGCCUACACACACACAAAUAUUAAAUCGUAAUUUUAAUUCCUUACACAAGGAAUUAAAUAUGCUUUCCUUGCAUAUACAACCUCACGGUACC
This is a long non-coding RNA of Strigops habroptila (Kakapo), 2054 nucleotides long. The record is from Ensembl. NCBI's taxonomy places the organism in Eukaryota, Metazoa, Chordata, Aves, Psittaciformes, Psittacidae.